UACGGGGGGGGCAAGCGUUGUUCGGAAUUACUGGGCGUAAAGGGCGCGUAGGCGGCUCUGUUAGUCAGGCGUGAAAGUCCUGGGCUCAACCUGGGAACUGCGCUUGAUACGGCAGAGCUAGAGGAUGGAAGAGGGUCGCGGAAUUCCCAGUGUAGAGGUGAAAUUCGUAGAUAUUGGGAAGAACACCGGUGGCGAAGGCGGCGACCUGGUCCAUUACUGACGCUGAGGCGCGACAGCGUGGGGAGCAAACAGG
RNAcentral lists this ribosomal RNA (253 nucleotides) under uncultured bacterium. RNAcentral describes it as "partial 16S ribosomal RNA". It matches the Rfam family "Bacterial small subunit ribosomal RNA", at positions 524 to 776 of the family's 1533-position model. The record is from RNAcentral.